GACGAACGCUGGCGGCGUGCUUAACACAUGCAAGUCGAACGAUGAACCCGGAGCUUGCUCUGGGGGAUUAGUGGCGAACGGGUGAGUAACACGUGAGUAACCUGCCCUGGACUCUGGGAUAAGCGUUGGAAACGACGUCUAAUACCGGAUAGGACCUUGGAUCGCAUGAUCUGGGGUGGAAAGUUUUUUCGGUCUGGGAUGGACUCGCGGCCUAUCAGCUUGUUGGUGAGGUAAUGGCUCACCAAGGCGUCGACGGGUAGCCGGCCUGAGAGGGUGACCGGCCACACUGGGACUGAGACACGGCCCAGACUCCUACAGGAGGCAGCAGUGGGGAAUAUUGCACAAUGGGCGAAAGCCUGAUGCAGCAACGCCGCGUGCGGGAUGACGGCCUUCGGGUUGUAAACCGCUUUUAGUAGGGAAGAAGGGCUUCGGCUUGACGGUACCUGCAGAAAAAGGACCGGCUAACUACGUG
This 472-nucleotide ribosomal RNA is filed under the name uncultured bacterium. Its description in RNAcentral is "partial 16S ribosomal RNA". It matches the Rfam family "Bacterial small subunit ribosomal RNA", at positions 28 to 507 of the family's 1533-position model. The record is from RNAcentral.